Long non-coding RNA from Panicum virgatum (switchgrass), 979 nucleotides. RefSeq lists it as uncharacterized. The transcript has 4 exons. Lineage: Eukaryota; Viridiplantae; Streptophyta; Magnoliopsida; Poales; Poaceae. The record is from RefSeq and is a predicted model, not a curated record.
GCCGCCGCCACCACCUCCUCCUCCUAAUCCCCGUCACCGCCACCUCCUCCGCCGCCGCCUCAGCCCGCCUUCGUCCUGCUCCUCUGACUCCCAACUGCACGCUCCUUGCGCCCUGCGGUUGAGCCCUGCUUCUUCAACUACGGCUCUCCACAUCUCGCUCCCUGCUCCUCCGGCACCCGGCCAUGGGGUCUGCCAGGCAGUCAGGCACCAGAUCCGGGCAUCUGCGUUGUUUUCUCAUAAUGAUGCCAGUAGAGCAGCGCCUAUAGCCCCAGCUCUGAUGUAUCUAUCUUCUUUUUUCUGUCUUUUGCAAUCACCUUAGUCCUAUUGUGCUUCUCAGGAUUUGUCAUUAGCAUGGAACGUAGGUCGUGCUGUCGUGCAGAAGGCUAAAUUGGAGAGCCUUUAGAAGAAGCUAUCAUAUUGUGCAUCUUGAAGCCCCUAAAUUGGAGAGCAUGUCGAAGCAGAUGCUGCACAGACCAGUGGCGUGCAACAUGGUGAUGCGUGCGGAGAUGCAAUCGGUAGCAGAAAGAAAAGCUGCUUACUCAGCUGAUUGUGCGAAACCAGGCACAAAAGAGUUUGAAAACAGAAGGUUGACAAUCGCUUCAAUCGCUGACUGACUUCAUGGUGCAUGUAUUACCUAUUGAAAAAAAAGACAGGUCUGCAAUUAAAAGCUAAAAUGGAUGCAAAACAUGGGCUCAUGCUUGAAACAUGGAUUUGCUUGAAGCUACUUUUUUUUCAGAAUUGUGCGAUUUUGUGAGAUUAAUUAGUUAUACUGAUUUCAUGCUAAAUAGAAAGACUUUGAUGUUUUAUGCAUGUGAUGAGAUGUCUGUGGGCUGGUUUAUAUAUUGAUUUGGGCUGAGAUGCUAAUUGAUCUACUGCAAAAAUGGGCUGCUUUUAAAUGGGCUAGAUGUACAAUCAGUCAUGCAAUAUUUCAUGAGCAGAAACUCUUGGGCCAUAUGCAAAUGGGCCCAAAUUGACCCAA